GGGAGACUAGCCGUCCUGGUUUGCCUGGAACUGAGGGGCUUCCCAGACACAAGACUUUCAGGGCUAAAAUCAG
Molecule: microRNA precursor, 73 nt
Filed under: Loxodonta africana (African savanna elephant)
Lineage: Eukaryota; Metazoa; Chordata; Mammalia; Proboscidea; Elephantidae
Description: miRNA (ENSLAFG00000030036.1)
Source: RNAcentral